UUCCGCCGCGCGUCGCGAGAGUCCCUGAACCUUUCAUUUAGAGGAAGGAGAAGUCGUAACAAGUUUCCGUAGGGGGACUGGGGAAGGAUCAUUUCGA
RNAcentral lists this ribosomal RNA (97 nucleotides) under Dicentra peregrina. RNAcentral's name for it is "partial 18S rRNA". Lineage: Eukaryota; Viridiplantae; Streptophyta; Magnoliopsida; Ranunculales; Papaveraceae. The record is from RNAcentral.